Sinocyclocheilus rhinocerous is the source of this 425-nucleotide non-coding RNA. The record is from the annotation of a RefSeq genome assembly. NCBI's taxonomy places the organism in Eukaryota, Metazoa, Chordata, Actinopteri, Cypriniformes, Cyprinidae.
ACCGUCAGUGUCUCAUACACAGUGCAGAAUAUUGAAAGGCUCAAGAAAGAACUGAGCUGAUCUUAUUCAACAUGGACAGAUGCUUUCUAAUCAUUGUUAUUAUGGGAACAGGUUUGGUGUCCGGGGACAGUAUUGAGCCAGACAAAGAGAAAAAUGUUAUCACAAAAGAAACAGAGACUGUCAAGCUGAGCUGCUCGUAUAGUACAACUAGCAAUGAUGUUCGUCUUUACUGGUACAGACAGUAUCUACAUGGGGAAAUUAUGUUUUUAGCAUAUAAAGGUGCUCGAUCACUGAGUGCUGCAAAAACUGCUGAUGAUCGGUUUCAUGCAACUACAACACAAACAUCCACUGAACUCACUAUUACUGAUUUACGUCUGUCAGAUUCAGCUCACUAUUAUUGUGCUCUAAGAGUAGGAGCCCAGUGA